Molecule: ribosomal RNA, 440 nt
Filed under: uncultured bacterium
Lineage: Bacteria
Description: partial 16S ribosomal RNA
Rfam family: Bacterial small subunit ribosomal RNA
Source: RNAcentral
CCUACGGGAGGCAGCAGUGGGGAAUAUUGCACAAUGGGGGAAACCCUGAUGCAGCGACGCCGCGUGAGUGAAGAAGUAAUUCGUUAUGUAAAGUUCUAUCAGCAGGGAAGAAAAUGACGGUACCUGAGUAAUAAGCACCGGCUAACUACGUGCCAGCAGCCGCGGUAAUACGGAGGGUGCAAGCGUUAUCCGGAUUUACUGGGUGUAAAGGGAGCGUAGACGGCAGUGCAAGUCUGGAGUGAAAGGCGGGAGCUCAACCCCAGGACUGCUCUGGAAACUGUACGGCUGGAGUGCAGGAGAGGUAAGUGGAAUUCCUAGUGUAGCGGUGAAAUGCGUAGAGAUGAGGAGGAACACUAGUUGCGAAGGCGGCUUACUGGACUGUAACUGACGUUGAGGCACGAAAGCGUGGGGAGCAAACAGGAUUAGAUACCCGUGUAGUC